This is a long non-coding RNA of Ruditapes philippinarum (Manila clam), 1190 nucleotides long. RefSeq lists it as uncharacterized. Lineage: Eukaryota; Metazoa; Mollusca; Bivalvia; Venerida; Veneridae. The record is from RefSeq and is a predicted model, not a curated record. The transcript has 3 exons.
CAGGGCAUAUGUUUUAAAUGAUAACUUUGUGUUUUGGUGGUUAAAUUAGGAGAAUAAAGAUCUUGUUUGUUGUUAUUAAGGUUGUGAAAUUUUAUAUAUGUACAGAUCUAUAUAAUUAUGCUUCUAAAACAAUUUUAAAACAUGGAAGAAUAUGUACUGCAAAUUUUUGUACAUGUUAUAUGUAAUCAUUAGAUUAUGUGCCUUUACUUUGGCCUUUCUCAAAUUAUAUGCAUGCUUUACAUUCCAUCACCAGAGAGAGGCUAACAGGGCAUGAAUGUAAACAAAUAAUGUCUGACCUGAUAAGCCCUAGCGUGUUAAACCUCAUUUUUGUUGUUGUGUUCCACUAUGUGAUUCCAAUUCUGGAUAUGAUUAUACGGUUAUUUUUUUUAUAAAAUACCUGAGGAUGUGAGUUUAAUAAGUGCAGGGAUUGUGAAAAUAAAAAGGAAUGAAUGAGAACAUUUCAAGAUCAAUACAUGACAACAGUUGCUCGUUUUGAAGCAUUUCACACAAUAAGAUUAACGAUCAUGGACACCAUUUCGAAAAAAAUCUGAAGAUAAUAGAUGUUUGACUAGAGAAGUUAUGAACACAACAGUAUGAUGUCCACUAGAGAAGAUUUUGCCAGAUGAAAGGAAUUCGUUUGAUAACAGUCAUGAACACAAAUUGACAACUGGUAUUUGAAUCGCCUUAAGUUGUAAUAUCUCUUCAUGGCAAAUGCAUAACAGAUGAAAAAGAAACUAUCAAACAGUUCAAAGAAGAAUUACAGAAAACUUAGGAAGAAAACAAACAGUGAUAUUGAACAUUUGAUACAAACGUCAAUGUGAUAUUGAACGUUUGAUACGAACAAAUUUUCAAAUGAUGACAGUUGUAUACCUUGUUAUACAGGAUUUCCAACAUAUAUAUAUAUAUAUUCAUUACAGUUUUCAAUGUUAUAAAACAUCAGCAAAAACAUUAAAAGUGUUUAUAAUGAAGCAAGCAAAACAAUCAGCUUGACUGGUAGAAAGAGAGGGAUGUUGCAAGCUGACGAAAUGUUUUUUAGCAUAUUUUAAAGGACCAUUUGUUUAGUCUUUUGCGUCUUACAUUAAAAUAAAUAAUUAAAAAGUUCUAAAUCAUCGCAUUACUUUGUUUUUAACAUUGUGCUUUGUUGCAUAUAUGGUCCAGCUGCAGGGAAUAUGUCAACAUGUUAAUUACAU